CAGGCUUAACACAUGCAAGUCGAGGGGCAUCAGGAAGAAAGCUUGCUUUCUUUGCUGGCGACCGGCGCACGGGUGAGUAACACGUAUCCAACCUGCCCUUUACUCGGGGAUAGCCUUUCGAAAGAAAGAUUAAUACCCGAUAGCAUAAUGAUUCCGCAUGGUUUCAUUAUUAAAGGAUUCCGGUAAAGGAUGGGGAUGCGUUCCAUUAGGUUGUUGGUGAGGUAACGGCCCACCAAGCCUUCGAUGGAUAGGGGUUCUGAGAGGAAGGUCCCCCACAUUGGAACUGAGACACGGUCCAAACUCCUACGGGAGGCAGCAGUGAGGAAUAUUGGUCAAUGGGCGCUAGCCUGAACCAGCCAAGUAGCGUGAAGGAUGAAGGCUCUAUGGGUCGUAAACUUCUUUUAUAUAAGAAUAAAGUGCAGUAUGUAUACUGUUUUGUAUGUAUUAUAUGAAUAAGGAUCGGCUAACUCCGUGCCAGCAGCCGCGGUAAUACGGAGGAUCCGAGCGUUAUCCGGAUUUAUUGGGUUUAAAGGGAGCGUAGGUGGACUGGUAAGUCAGUUGUGAAAGUUCGCGGCUCAACCGUAAAAUUGCAGUUGAUACUGUCAGUCUUGAGUACAGUAGAGGUGGGCGGAAUUCGUGGUGUAGCGGUGAAAUGCUUAGAUAUCACGAAGAACUCCGAUUGCGAAGGCAGCUCACUGGACUGCAACUGAUACUGAUGCUCGAAAGUGUGGGUAUCAAACAGGAUUAGAUACCCUGGUAGUCCACACAGUAAACGAUGAAUACUCGCUGUUUGCGAUAUACAGUAAGCGGCCAAGCGAAAGCAUUAAGUAUUCCACCUGGGGAGUACGCCGGCAACGGUGAAACUCAAAGGAAUUGACGGGGGCCCGCACAAGCGGAGGAACAUGUGGUUUAAUUCGAUGAUACGCGAGGAACCUUACCCGGGCUUAAAUUGCAGUGGAAUGAUGUGGAAACAUGUCAGUGAGCAAUCACCGCUGUGAAGGUGCUGCAUGGUUGUCGUCAGCUCGUGCCGUGAGGUGUCGGCUUAAGUGCCAUAACGAGCGCAACCCUUAUCUUUAGUUACUAACAGGUUAUGCUGAGGACUCUAGAGAGACUGCCGUCGUAAGAUGUGAGGAAGGUGGGGAUGACGUCAAAUCAGCACGGCCCUUACGUCCGGGGCUACACACGUGUUACAAUGGGGGGUACAGAAGGCAGCUAGCGGGUGACCGUAUGCUAAUCCCAAAAUCCUCUCUCAGUUCGGAUCGAAGUCUGCAACCCGACUUCGUGAAGCUGGAUUCGCUAGUAAUCGCGCAUCAGCCACGGCGCGGUGAAUACGUUCCCGGGCCUUGUACACACCGCCCGUCAAGCCAUGGGAGCCGGGGGUACCUGAAGUACGUAACCGCAAGGAUCGUCCUAGGGUAAAACUGGUGACU
This 1430-nucleotide ribosomal RNA is filed under the name uncultured organism. RNAcentral describes it as "16S ribosomal RNA". It matches the Rfam family "Bacterial small subunit ribosomal RNA". The record is from RNAcentral.